GGAGAUGUAGCUUGGUGGUAGAGUGCUUACCUAGCAUGCAUGAGGCCCUGGGUUCAAUCCCCAGUACCAGCA
Molecule: transfer RNA, 72 nt
Filed under: Heterocephalus glaber (naked mole-rat)
Lineage: Eukaryota; Metazoa; Chordata; Mammalia; Rodentia; Bathyergidae
Rfam family: tRNA
About the family: Transfer RNA (tRNA) molecules are approximately 80 nucleotides in length. Their secondary structure includes four short double-helical elements and three loops (D, anti-codon, and T loops).
Source: Rfam by way of RNAcentral